This 4567-nucleotide long non-coding RNA is filed under the name Citrus x clementina. Its description in RNAcentral is "Citrus clementina (C. clementina) long non-coding RNA (CCLE_LNC005773)". Lineage: Eukaryota; Viridiplantae; Streptophyta; Magnoliopsida; Sapindales; Rutaceae. The record is from RNAcentral.
AACGAUACGAUUAAAAUUAUAUUUUAAAAAAAUCGUUAUUGGAUUCAAUCGAAAUUGGAUUGAAUUUUACAAUUCGAUUGGAUUAAAAUUUAUUUCGAGAAAAACCAAAAUGAAAAUCCGAUCAGAUUGUUUAAAAUUAAAAAAAAAAUGAAAUCCAUGAAUUUCUAAAUCUAAUUCAAUAAAUAUCGAUCUCCUUCACCUCUCAUUUUUUAAUUUUUACAAAUGCCUCUCUCUUUCGCUCAAAGUCUCAAUGUUAAAAUUGAAAAAAAAAAUCUCAAAAAAUUAAAAUAACUCAAACACACACAAAGCAAUCGCCACCUAAUCUUCCUCCUCCUCCCCUUCACUGUUCUACUCACAAACAAACACAUUCUGUAGCCGGCCAACUGCUGUUAUCUUCUUCUUCUUCACACAAACACACGCACUGCAACCAUUGCCGUCUAUCGUCCCUGGCUCGCCGCUGCAUGUCAACCAAUCGCGACUGCCUCGUUCGUAGAAGGUCAGCUUCUAGUUCCAGUUCAAGGUGUCUCUAUUUCAUUCAGUUUUGUGGUUCUGUUGUAUUACUUUGUUUGGUUGAUGGGAAAAUGCAGAAAAAAAUAAAAAUAGAAGUUCUUGCUAACCCUAAUUUGUAAUCCUAAUCAAACCGAACCGAACCAAACCAAAUUAAAUUCGAUUUGAUUCAGUUUGGGUUUUAAUUUCAAAUCUGAUUGGGUUGAAUUUUUCAACCUAAACGGAUUGUAACCAAAACCAAAACCCGGAUAACCCGAACUAAAACCCAAUUUACCCAUCCCUACAAUCUACAUAUCGCAUUGCGCCUUUGACCAUCGCACAUAUUUAGGUUUCAUCUCCAAUACCGUUUUAACUAAAAUUUUUAUUGUCUUCAAUUAUUAUUUUUAUCUAUUAAUUCAAACUUAUUACUUUAAGAAUCCACAAUAUUUUAUGAAUGCAAUAAUAACAUUCACUAUAAAGCCCACAACAAUUUCAAAACUAAGAUUAAAACAUUAAAAAACUCAUAUUGUGUAAAAACAUACGCAAACCUUAACUUCUUACUCUCUGAUUGAUGAUUAUAUUUUCAGUCAUGUAUUAUUACAUUCGUUUGAUGAAUUUAGUAAUUUGUUGAUAAUGAUGUGGUUUAGUAAUUGGGUGAGGUGGUGAAGCUUGAUGAUUUUUUGAGAGCAGUGUUGGUUUGGUAAUUUAUUAAAAGUGAUGUGAGCUAUUCGAUAAAAAAAAACUUAUAUAUGGCUAAGUUAUAAUAAUAAAAUAAAAAAUAAAAAUAAGGACUCCUUUAAUUUUGGUACUAUUUUUGUAAAUUUUCGUCAACGUAGAGUCUUUGCUCCUACGCUCACUGCCCCUGGUUUUCUUGUUCAUUAUUUUUUUUUGUGCACCAAAUUAUUAAGAAUAAUAAUAUUUUUAAUUGUGGACUGACAUACAUAAUAUCUUUAUACAUUCACUUGUGUUAUUAUUAAAUAAUUUUAUUUCUUAUCAUUAAUCCACCUCGCAAAUGAUAACACAUCAUAAAUCUAAAAUGUAAGUUACGCAAGAGGGGAGUGAAUUGAGAUUUUAUAAUUUAUGCUAAACAAUCUUUGCAACAAUUCAAUCUAAUGCCCUAACGGAAUUAAAAACAAUAAAUUCAAUAUAGUACAAUAAUAAAAGAGUAAGAGAAGAUAAAACAAACACAAGGAUUUUUACGUGGUUCGGCAAUUCCUGCCUAUGUUCACGCCUCCAAGCCAACCAAGUUCGAGAAUUUCACUAUCCAAACCUCUCAAGGCUUCAAGUUCUUACAAUUGACUUUCAAUGUGUCAAUGAACCUUUAUAAUCAAGAGAUUAUCUCCCCAAUCUCUUUACCUCAAGUGUUUUUCACACUUAUACACUCACAGUUUGAUAAGAAAUGAAAAUUACAAUAAAAACUCUCUUUAAGAGUGAAUAUGCAAAUAAUAGCACAAAAACGAUUCAAUAAAUGAUGAUUUUGCGAUGUGGAAGCUCAAUAUAUGUUAUAUGAUCUUGUUUAUGUUUGCAUUAGUCCUUAAAAUGAAGUUAGAGUUGAAUUUUAUAGUUAAAGCCUGAAAACUAGUCAUUAUAGAUAAAUUCCCGAAACCAAGCGGUUAGCAGCUUGAUUUCUCCAGCUAGCCGCUCAUAACAUUGAUAUUAUUGUUAAAUUUGAAUUGCUACAGUAAUACUGUUCACUAAAAUAAUACUUUGACCUAAAAUUUUUUUAUAAUUAUAUUAUGACCCAAAACGUCAUAAAACUUUAUAAAUAUGUCUAAUUUCAGAAUUUUUAAAUAAUGAUUGUCAUUCUAAAACUUUAUGAAAUUAUGAUAUGGUUCUAAAUAUAUUAUUAUUUUUCAAAUAAGUCCUCUUUCAAAAUUUAAUAUAAUACCCAUAUUUUUUAAAAUUUUCAAAAUCUUUCACUUUAGUCCAAAAUUUGAAAAGUUCUCAAGCCGCUAGCCUCAUGCGGUUAGGCGCUCACUCUAGGUUCAAUUUUGGAUUUCAAAUGUUUGGAUUAUAUUUGGAUCCUCAAACUUUUAUAAAUUAUGAUAUGACCCAAAACAUUUUAAAUAUUUUCAAAAAAGUCCAACUCCGGAAUUCAAAAUAAUGCUUAUUAAAUUCAAAGAUUGCAAAACUUUUCAUUUAAGUGCAAAUUACUCAAAUCCACAAAAUACUCUAUCUUAUAAAUAUAAAACUUUUUAGCUUAUGAAAAAUAAUUAUUUAAAUUAAUCUUUUGAGCUUCUCAAAUGCUAAAUCAUGCAUCAAUUAAAUCAUACUGACUUUACAAGAAUUUAUCACAAUAAUUUAUCCGUUGAGGUCUAAACUUUAUUCUUGAUUUCGCCGUUAUCCAUUGAAUGUCUUGAACUUGAUUUCACUUGCAUAAAUAUUAGCCUUUAAAAUCUAGUGAAAAUAUGAAAUACAAUAUUUAUUAAAUUUACUGAAGGCACAUAUUUGUUAUCAUCAAAAUUACAUUAUGUAUAGCCAUUUAGGCUAACAAAAUCGUAUCAUUUGAGACGUCGAUUAUGUAUUCUUAACUAUAUAUGUGUUGUAUUACUCAAUUAUUAAUCAUGAUCUAUCUUAGGGCAAGUUUGUAAUACUGUUAGUUUUUAAAAUAAUUGUCGUUGGCUAUACUAUAUAAAUACUCAGUUGUGAAGAAAAUCAAUUAAAUGUUUGGUAAUUUUUAUUAUUUUUAAAAGUGCUAUGACUUACGAGUUUUAAGAGUAGUCAAAUUUAUUUGGUUAAUAAUAACCCUUUGGUAAAAACUUACUAUUAACAGUUGUAAAAAAAUAAAUGAUUGAAGUGGACAUAAUGUUAAAUAAAAUUUAUUUACACAUUUAUAAACACGUAUGUAAAAUAUUUUAAUUGUUUAUGCAUAAAAAUUAUAUUUAAAAUAAAUAUUUUAUAUUAAUCAUUUUAUUUUAUUAUAAUAAUCUAUUUAAAAUUAAUGAUUUUUUUGUCUAAUUAAUAAAGAUAAUUUCAGAUUUUUAUAAUAUAUUUAAAGAUAUAUAUAUAGUGAUUCUUAUAAUCAAACCCUUUCUUUUUUUUUUUGUAAAAAUUUGUUGUAGUAUAAAAUUAUUGUCAAAAACAAUUUUAAAAAAUUAACAAAUACCAAAAUUAACUUUUAAUUUUUUAAAAUCACUUUUAAACCUCCCAAAAAUAAUUUCAAAAUGACCCGUAAUCGUUCGUGAUUAAUGCAAUAUAACUGUGUAUUUGUAUUAACAAUCACCAAAGCAAAUUAAUUUCAACAUUUACGGGCAAGGUUAUUCUAUACAGAUUUUCAAGUUAUCCGCACUAUAAAACUGGGGAUUACACUAUAAUUAUAAUAAUUUAGACUCUAUUUGGAAUAAAAUGCUUAAAAAGAAAAAAAGAAAAAACAGCAAUUGAAUAACUUACAAAGAUAUAUGAAAUUGGAAAGGAUUCUUUGAGCGCAGUGUUAAGCAUGCAUGCCCUUUCAUAUACAAACAAAUCAAAAUAAUUGCCCAGCUCACAACAUUAACACAAUCUACUUUUCUAACAUUUUCCCCGUCUGCUGCAAAAUCCAGAAGUUGCUUCUUGGUUGAAGUUAUGUAGACCGAGUUCAACUGGCGCUCGGCCUCUCUGUCUAUACAACAAUAUAAACUGCAAUCUUCUCGCUCAAAUAAUUUACAGCCACCACCCUUCAUUAACACUAUGUGCAGAGACUGAGAUGCGAGUACAAGUCUUAUACCUAGUCAAGGCUCUGGAUCUUCCUGAACAACCUCAGGCAAGGACGGUGAGGAUGCACCACUCAUUUUGCUGGGCACUGGUGUGUUUCUUCGUGAUUGGCGUUUCGUGAGGACUAACACAUUUUCAUUUUCCUCCUUUUCGAAAAGCGCAUCAUCAUCAUCUUCACCUUUAAAGACGGGAUGAAUAUAUGCAUUUCGAAGAUAACCUUUCAAGUUAAGGUUUGGUUCCCUAGCACGCUCCAAGGUGUCUUUCAUCAUUGCUUCCUGAAAAUCAUAACAGAAGAAAACCAAGUCAGGAACAGUUGUCUAGGUAAUCUUGGUCAGUCAUCAACAGAAACAAAUGUGGAGAGAAAUUUUCAAGAUGUCAAGCACUAACAAAC